UACGUAGGUGGCGAGCGUUGUCCGGAUUUACUGGGCGUAAAGGGAGCGUAGGCGGACUUUUAAGUGAGAUGUGAAAUACCCGGGCUCAACUUGGGUGCUGCAUUUCAAACUGAAAGUCUAGAGUGCAGGAGAGGAGAAUGGAAUUCCUAGUGUAGCGGUGAAAUGCGUAGAGAUUAGGAAGAACACCAGUGGCGAAGGCGAUUCUCUGGACUGUAACUGACGCUGAGGCUCGAAAGCGUGGGGAGGCAAACAGGAUUAGAUACCCCGUA
This 269-nucleotide ribosomal RNA is filed under the name uncultured prokaryote. Its description in RNAcentral is "partial 16S ribosomal RNA". It matches the Rfam family "Bacterial small subunit ribosomal RNA", at positions 524 to 791 of the family's 1533-position model. The record is from RNAcentral.